RNAcentral lists this ribosomal RNA (2916 nucleotides) under Vibrio parahaemolyticus. RNAcentral describes it as "bacterial LSU rRNA". It matches the Rfam family "Bacterial large subunit ribosomal RNA". The record is from RNAcentral. Lineage: Bacteria; Pseudomonadati; Pseudomonadota; Gammaproteobacteria; Vibrionales; Vibrionaceae.
GUUGUAUGGUUAAGUGACUAAGCGUACACGGUGGAUGCCUUGGCAGUCAGAGGCGAUGAAAGACGUAGUAACUUGCGAUAAGCCCAGAUUAGGUAGUAACAACCAUUUGAGUCUGGGAUUUCUGAAUGGGGAAACCCACGUGCAUAAGCACGUAUCCUUACCUGAAUACAUAGGGUAAGGAGGCGAACCGGGGGAACUGAAACAUCUAAGUACCCCGAGGAAAAGAAAUCAACCGAGAUUCCGAAAGUAGCGGCGAGCGAAAUUGGACUAGCCCUUAAGCUUUACACGCGUUAGACGAACGGUCUGGAAAGUCCGACGAUACAGGGUGAUAGUCCCGUAGUUGACGACGUGUGUUCAGUGAAAUCGAGUAGGGCGGGACACGUGAUAUCCUGUCUGAAUAUGGGGGGACCAUCCUCCAAGGCUAAAUACUACUGACUGACCGAUAGUGAACCAGUACCGUGAGGGAAAGGCGAAAAGAACCCCUGUGAGGGGAGUGAAAUAGAACCUGAAACCGUGUACGUACAAGCAGUAGGAGCAGGCUUUGUCCUGUGACUGCGUACCUUUUGUAUAAUGGGUCAGCGACUUAUAUUCAGUGGCAAGGUUAACCAUCUAGGGGAGCCGUAGGGAAACCGAGUCUUAACUGGGCGUUCAGUCUCUGGAUAUAGACCCGAAACCAGGUGAUCUAGCCAUGGGCAGGUUGAAGGUUGAGUAACAUCAACUGGAGGACCGAACCGACUAAUGUUGAAAAAUUAGCGGAUGACUUGUGGCUAGGGGUGAAAGGCCAAUCAAACCUGGAGAUAGCUGGUUCUCCCCGAAAGCUAUUUAGGUAGCGCCUCGGACGAAUACUACUGGGGGUAGAGCACUGUUAAGGCUAGGGGGUCAUCCCGACUUACCAACCCUUUGCAAACUCCGAAUACCAGUAAGUACUAUCCGGGAGACACACGGCGGGUGCUAACGUCCGUCGUGGAGAGGGAAACAACCCAGACCGCCAGCUAAGGUCCCAAAUUACUACUAAGUGGGAAACGAUGUGGGAAGGCUCAGACAGCCAGGAUGUUGGCUUAGAAGCAGCCAUCAUUUAAAGAAAGCGUAAUAGCUCACUGGUCGAGUCGGCCUGCGCGGAAGAUGUAACGGGGCUAAGUAGUAAACCGAAGCUGCGGCAAUGUGCUUUUGCACAUUGGGUAGGGGAGCGUUCUGUAAGCGGUUGAAGGUGUGUGGUAACGCAUGCUGGACGUAUCAGAAGUGCGAAUGCUGACAUGAGUAACGAUAAAGGGGGUGAAAAACCUCCUCGCCGGAAGACCAAGGGUUCCUGUCCAACGUUAAUCGGGGCAGGGUAAGUCGACCCCUAAGGCGAGGCCGAAAGGCGUAGUCGAUGGGAAACGGGUUAAUAUUCCCGUACUUCUUACAAUUGCGAUGGGGGGACGGAGAAGGCUAGGUGGGCCUGGCGACGGUUGUCCAGGUUCAAGUGCGUAGGCUUAAGAGUUAGGUAAAUCCGGCUCUUUCUAAGGCUGAGACACGACGUCGAGCACCUACGGGUGUGAAGUCAUUGAUGCCAUGCUUCCAGGAAAAGCCUCUAAGCUUCAGAUUGUAAGGAAUCGUACCCCAAACCGACACAGGUGGUCGGGUAGAGAAUACCAAGGCGCUUGAGAGAACUCGGGUGAAGGAACUAGGCAAAAUGGUACCGUAACUUCGGGAGAAGGUACGCUCUUGAUGGUGAAGUCCCUCGCGGAUGGAGCUGACGAGAGUCGCAGAUACCAGGUGGCUGCAACUGUUUAUUAAAAACACAGCACUGUGCAAAAUCGUAAGAUGACGUAUACGGUGUGACGCCUGCCCGGUGCCGGAAGGUUAAUUGAUGGGGUUAGACUUCGGUCGAAGCUCUUGAUCGAAGCCCCGGUAAACGGCGGCCGUAACUAUAACGGUCCUAAGGUAGCGAAAUUCCUUGUCGGGUAAGUUCCGACCUGCACGAAUGGCGUAAUGAUGGCCACGCUGUCUCCACCCGAGACUCAGUGAAAUUGAAAUCGCUGUGAAGAUGCAGUGUACCCGCGGCUAGACGGAAAGACCCCGUGAACCUUUACUACAGCUUGGCACUGAACAUUGACCCUACAUGUGUAGGAUAGGUGGGAGGCUUUGAAGCACGUACGCCAGUAUGUGUGGAGCCGUCCUUGAAAUACCACCCUUGUAGUGUUGAUGUUCUAACGUCGACCCCUAAUCGGGGUUGCGGACAGUGCCUGGUGGGUAGUUUGACUGGGGCGGUCUCCUCCCAAAGAGUAACGGAGGAGCACGAAGGUGGGCUAAUCACGGUUGGACAUCGUGAGGUUAGUGCAAUGGCAUAAGCCCGCUUGACUGCGAGAAUGACAAUUCGAGCAGGUGCGAAAGCAGGUCAUAGUGAUCCGGUGGUUCUGAAUGGAAGGGCCAUCGCUCAACGGAUAAAAGGUACUCCGGGGAUAACAGGCUGAUACCGCCCAAGAGUUCAUAUCGACGGCGGUGUUUGGCACCUCGAUGUCGGCUCAUCACAUCCUGGGGCUGAAGUCGGUCCCAAGGGUAUGGCUGUUCGCCAUUUAAAGUGGUACGCGAGCUGGGUUUAGAACGUCGUGAGACAGUUCGGUCCCUAUCUGCCGUGGGCGUUGGAAGAUUGAAGGGGGCUGCUCCUAGUACGAGAGGACCGGAGUGGACGAACCUCUGGUGUUCGGGUUGUGUCGCCAGACGCAUUGCCCGGUAGCUAAGUUCGGAAUCGAUAACCGCUGAAAGCAUCUAAGCGGGAAGCGAGCCCUGAGAUGAGUCUUCCCUGAUACUUUAAGUAUCCUAAAGGGUUGUCGGAGACUACGACGUUGAUAGGUCAGGUGUGUAAGUGCUGUGAGGCAUUGAGCUAACUGAUACUAAUUGCCCGUGAGGCUUAACCAUACAACACCCAAGGGGUUU